This 630-nucleotide long non-coding RNA is filed under the name Pan troglodytes (chimpanzee). Its description in RNAcentral is "long non-coding RNA NONPTRT016549". Lineage: Eukaryota; Metazoa; Chordata; Mammalia; Primates; Hominidae. The record is from RNAcentral.
UCCCAAAGUGUCACAAAGAGCCCAUUGUGGUGGGGGCAUGGAAUUGUGGACUCUUUGGAGUGACUGAGGAACCCCAUUUCACCCAUUCUUAGUUUGAAUUUUUCCUGUGGGGAGCUGGGGUAGUGUGGGAUCCAGGUGGAGUCUCAACCUCUCCCCUCAGUGACAGACUCAGAGGAGGGCGUGCAACUCCAGAGCUGGCUGAAACAAUGGAGAGAGAAGUAGGGGUUUUCUCCCAGAGAUGAGCUGUGAAGGUCCAGGGAAGACGACCAUUAUUCACAUGGCUGUCACCUGGGGAGAGACCCCAAGUUAAGAUCAAGAGAAAAAAGCAGGAAACAAAAUGGUGAAGACAACAAGCGGCAGCAGAUCCGGUGGAGUGUACCACGAAAGGCGCAGGACCCAAAGCGACGUUGUAACAAACCGCAAAUUCCUCUUCCGCCAAUGCACCUCAAGCCUCUCGCUGAGUCUGAGGACACAGGGAAAUCAUCAUAAAUGAAUCAGAAGGUCGGCAGUGAUGGUAAAGGGAGUCUUGGAUAAGUCAUGUGCUAGGUCAUGAGUGAUGUUGGCUGCAUUGGGGCCAGUAGCAUGAACAACCUCAGUCAAUAGGAAUAAAUACACAGAGCAGUGCUGCUC